UACGAAGGGGGCUAGCGUUGUUCGGAAUUACUGGGCGUAAAGCGCACGUAGGCGGAUAUUUAAGUCAGGGGUGAAAUCCCGGGGCUCAACCCCGGAACUGCCUUUGAUACUGGGUAUCUCGAGUCCGAGAGAGGUGAGUGGAAUUCCGAGUGUAGAGGUGAAAUUCGUAGAUAUUCGCAAGAACACCAGUGGCGAAGGCGGCUCACUGGCCCGGUACUGACACUGAGGUGCGAAAGCGUGGGGAGCAAACAGG
RNAcentral lists this ribosomal RNA (253 nucleotides) under uncultured bacterium. RNAcentral's name for it is "partial 16S ribosomal RNA". It matches the Rfam family "Bacterial small subunit ribosomal RNA", at positions 524 to 776 of the family's 1533-position model. The record is from RNAcentral.